RNAcentral lists this long non-coding RNA (2314 nucleotides) under Homo sapiens (human). RNAcentral describes it as "HSALNT0046725". Lineage: Eukaryota; Metazoa; Chordata; Mammalia; Primates; Hominidae. The record is from RNAcentral.
GAUUACAGGACAAGUGCUGCCCCGGAGGCUCCGCGACGCGCGCACUCCCUCGCGCCCACCCGCGCGCCCGGCCGCGUCGCCCCCAGCCCGUUGGUCCCCGGACUGCGGACCCCGCCCCCGACGGGGGCCAGGUAACCCGCUUCCGAGUGUGCCACGGCGACCCCCAUCUCCCCUCCCCGUGUCAUAAUAAAUCUCACGUUUUCUGCCGGCUGGAGGCUUGGAGCGGUGAGGUGACGUUCAUUUCGGCCGCGUGAAGUUUUCUUUCAAACUGGGAUUGGUGGGGAGGCCGGGGGAAGGGAGCGGGGCGGCGAUCUUGGCGCCCUGCGCGGAGUCCGGGAGCCGCGUCCCGGCCGAGUCGGGGAGUGUGCGUGGAGCCUCCCACCUACUGGUCUCCGCCGGCAACUCUGCGGCCCCAUUUCGGAAAGCGCACCGCAUUGACCGGGACCUGAAGCGGGAUAAGAGGGGUCCUGGGGAAUAGACUGAGAAAGACAUUCAUGUCUGAGAUGAAGCUCAACUAUUACUAUUUUGAAAGUGCUUUAACAGUGCAAGUUUAAAAACUAAAGUGUUGACUUGCUUUUUCUCCCCCGGGGCAUGUGCCACGUCUUCCAAAGUCAAAGGAACGGAUGAGUACAAAAAGUUGCUACCCUUGAAGUGUUACCUAUCACUAUCAACCACAGCUUGUUUAUUUGGAAAGAACUUAAGUGAACCGUCAAGAGAAAAACAAAUGCAUAUUCUUUCUACAAAUAGUAGCAUUUAGUAUCUUUCCUGACCACAUUUGCGAAAAGAGGGAAUAGAGACUUCUAUAAUUAAAGGGAAAAGGAAAAUGAAAGGAGCUGAAAAUAGUGAACUGUGUAGUCUGGAUGGCUGAAAUUUGAAAACACAUGAAAUUAUCAGGACUGCCAAACGGUGUUCCUGAGAAACCAUAUCACAGAUUGUGAAGAAAAUCAAUGCUAGAAGAGUCGGAACAGGCACCGUACUCUUACUCCUUUGAAGAAUCCCAGAAAUAGUUGUUGAGGUUUUUUUUUUCUGCUGAGAAAAAAAGAUAUAUUGGAAAUUAAGUCAUCAACAGUACCUUAAGCAUUUGCAGGUUAUGGUGUAUCUAACUCAUCCAGAGAAAUCAAGAUUAUGUUUUCAUACCAAGAUUGGGGGUUUUAUUUCAUGCCUGUGGAGUCUAUAGUCCUAAGAUUCACAAUGCAAUCCACUCAUGGGAAAGAACCCUUGCAUAAACUGUAAUUCACUUUGUUCAGAAUUUCUCUGGGUAGUUUUGUUUGUUUGUUCGUUUUGGUUUUGUUUUUGUUGAGACAGAGUCUCACUCUGUCACCCAGGCUGGAGUGCAGUGGCGCCGUCUCGGCUCACUACAAUCUCUGCUUCCUGGGUUCAUGCGAUUCUCCUGCCUCAGCCUUCUGAGUAGCUGGGAUCACAGGCGCCCACCACCACACCUGGCUAAUUUUUGUAUUUUUUAGUAGAGACAGGGUUUCACCAUGCUGGCCAGGGUGGCCUCGAACUCCUGACCUCAGGUGAUCUCCCAAAGUGCUGGGUCUCCCAAAGUGCUGGGAUUACAGGCGUGAGCAAUUGCGCCUGGCCUCUCUGGGUAGUAUUUUGAUAGUUAGAGGGUGCAUUUAUUUCUGUCCUUUGCCAGAAGACAUAGACUGUACACAUUUUUUUAAGGUACUUAUAUAACUAUACUGUACAUUAAAAUAUACCACUAGGGAAGUGGAGUACCAUGUUCUUUGGCCACUGUAUCCAGUUUGGAGAGUUAAGUUUUUACUUUAGGGAAGAAGUGGCAGGGUGGGGAGGAAACAGACCCCUCAGCCCUUACCAUUUUUCACGUAGCUGGUUCUUUCUCAUCCUUUCUGUCCCAUCCUACCCAAACAUUUUCCUGCACCAACUUCUAUUGUAGCACCUUGAAUAUUUCCUUCAUAACAUUGUUUUCUCAGAAGUAGAAUAGUAUUUGGUACAAGUUGGUACUCAAUAAACAUUUAUUAAAUGAAUGAAUAUGGAGGAAAUGAUGUACUCAGCUGGCUUUCAUGUAUUAAACUCUAUUUUCAAAGGACGAAAAGGGUCCCAUUUCCAAGAUACAUGCUGAUUUCAUAAAGAAUUUGGUCAGAUCUUGGCUCAUAAGUCAUAUUACAAAUAUCUUUAACAGGUCAGCUCUGGCUUACAAGCCACACAAAGGAUCUGAACCUCUUGGUAGAUAACAGUUAUAUUUACAAAAUGUAUAUAAAAUAAAAUGUUACAUAAAUUAAAAAUAAAAUUAUAUAUAAAUAUAUAUUUUUAACAUUUAUAUAUUAAUUUUGCAAAUAUAAAUAUGAAA